CUGGCUUAAAGGUGGGGCAGGUGAGCAGGGCUGCUGUUCCUGGUUUGUAGCCAAUUGAACCCCUAACCCUGAGCCUCCAACUGGGGAAAACGUGAGGAAGGAACACGAGAGGUUAAGAGUGCCCUGCAGAAUUUCUGUGGAAAUCUACUGGCUUCAGCUUCCUGUUUGACUGCCAUAAACAAGGAAAUGCAUAUCCUCCUUGCCAGUUUUUCAGCAGAACCAACGUGCUUGUUCCUGAGCAGCUGGGUGAAUUGGAUUUUGGAAGGAUGCUUUGUGUCUUUGAAGUCUUUUCUGGCUAAAUACCAUUAAUCUUCAGAGUGAUUCAGUUCUUAAGAUGUGCACCUGAGGUAAUGGAGAUCUUUAGAGAGAACCUGUCAGUGAAGCAGAGAACUAAGGAGCAGGACAUCAGUAAUCCAUCAAAGGACUGAGCAUAAGCUGUUGAAGACUUGUAUGGCUCUGUACAAGGAGACCAAGUGUCUGGGAAAAUUCAGUGUAACGUCUCUAGAUGACAGCCCAUUAUUUGAGCUGCAUCUCUAGCACUGCCAACCACUGGAGUUUGUGAGCAUGUUUUUGCUGUGGAAAAAAUAACGAGCCAAAUAUACAAUGUAUUGUAGAUGACAAUUAAUAAAACCAUCAUACUGAUAACAUACACUGGAUGUAGCCCAGUUUGGGUUCUUUGGAUUGAAAGAGUUGCGGUGCCCUGGGUACAAUUUCUAGCUGUCCCUUUACCAAUGAUGUAACAUGUUUACUAUUUGCCAAAUGUUAACGAUAUAAGCUCAAUAUUACAACUUGAUCAGCUAAA
Long non-coding RNA from Passer montanus (Eurasian tree sparrow), 802 nucleotides. RefSeq lists it as uncharacterized. The record is from RefSeq and is a predicted model, not a curated record. Lineage: Eukaryota; Metazoa; Chordata; Aves; Passeriformes; Passeridae. The transcript is spliced from 3 exons.